GGCGGACGGGUGAGUAAUGCAUAGGAAUCUGCCCGGUAGUGGGGGAUAACCUGGGGAAACCCAGGCUAAUACCGCAUACGUCCUACGGGAGAAAGGGGGCUUCGGCUCCCGCUAUUGGAUGAGCCUAUGUCGGAUUAGCUAGUUGGUGAGGUAAAGGCUCACCAAGGCAACGAUCCGUAGCUGGUCUGAGAGGAUGAUCAGCCACAUCGGGACUGAGACACGGCCCGAACUCCUACGGGAGGCAGCAGUGGGGAAUAUUGGACAAUGGGCGCAAGCCUGAUCCAGCCAUGCCGCGUGUGUGAAGAAGGCCCUCGGGUUGUAAAGCACUUUCAGCGAGGAAGAACGCCUAGUGGUUAAUACCCAUUAGGAAAGACAUCACUCGCAGAAGAAGCACCGGCUAACUCCGUGCCAGCAGCCGCGGUAAUACGGAGGGUGCAAGCGUUAAUCGGAAUUACUGGGCGUAAAGCGCGCGUAGGUGGCUUGAUAAGCCGGUUGUGAAAGCCCCGGGCUCAACCUGGGAACGGCAUCCGGAACUGUCAAGCUAGAGUGCAGGAGAGGAAGGUAGAAUUCCCGGUGUAGCGGUGAAAUGCGUAGAGAUCGGGAGGAAUACCAGUGGCGAAGGCGGCCUUCUGGACUGACACUGACACUGAGGUGCGAAAGCGUGGGUAGCAAACAGGAUUAGAUACCCUGGUAGUCCACGCCGUAAACGAUGUCGACCAGCCGUUGGGUGCCUAGCGCACUUUGUGGCGAAGUUAACGCGAUAAGUCGACCGCCUGGGGAGUACGGCCGCAAGGUUAAAACUCAAAUGAAUUGACGGGGGCCCGCACAAGCGGUGGAGCAUGUGGUUUAAUUCGAUGCAACGCGAAGAACCUUACCUACUCUUGACAUCCUGCGAACUUGUGAGAGAUCACUUGGUGCCUUCGGGAACGCAGAGACAGGUGCUGCAUGGCUGUCGUCAGCUCGUGUUGUGAAAUGUUGGGUUAAGUCCCGUAACGAGCGCAACCCUUGUCCUUAUUUGCCAGCACGUAAUGGUGGGAACUCUAAGGAGACUGCCGGUGACAAACCGGAGGAAGGUGGGGACGACGUCAAGUCAUCAUGGCCCUUACGAGUAGGGCUACACACGUGCUACAAUGGCCGGUACAAAGGGUUGCCAACUCGCGAGAGUGAGCUAAUCCCGAAAAGCCGGUCUCAGUCCGGAUCGGAGUCUGCAACUCGACUCCGUGAAGUCGGAAU
This 1233-nucleotide ribosomal RNA is filed under the name Vreelandella venusta. RNAcentral describes it as "bacterial SSU rRNA". It matches the Rfam family "Bacterial small subunit ribosomal RNA", at positions 97 to 1332 of the family's 1533-position model. Lineage: Bacteria; Pseudomonadati; Pseudomonadota; Gammaproteobacteria; Oceanospirillales; Halomonadaceae. The record is from RNAcentral.